RNAcentral lists this ribosomal RNA (482 nucleotides) under uncultured Mycobacterium sp. Its description in RNAcentral is "partial 16S ribosomal RNA". The record is from RNAcentral. Lineage: Bacteria; Bacillati; Actinomycetota; Actinomycetes; Mycobacteriales; Mycobacteriaceae.
CACGUAGUUGGCCGGUCCUUCUUCUCCAGGUACCGUCACUUGCGCUUCGCCCCUGGCGAAAGAGGUUUACAACCCGAAGGCCGUCAUCCCUCACGCGGCGUCGCUGCAUCAGGCUUGCGCCCAUUGUGCAAUAUUCCCCACUGCUGCCUCCCGUAGGAGUCUGGGCCGUAUCUCAGUCCCAGUGUGGCCGGUCACCCUCUCAGGCCGGCUACCCGUCGUCGCCUUGGUAGGCCAUUACCCCCACAACAAGCUGAUAGGCCGCGGGCCCAUCCCACACCGCAAAAGCUUUCCACCACAGCACAUGAAUGCCGUGGUCCUAUCCGGUAUUAGACCCAGUUUCCCAGGCUUAUCCCAAAGUGCAGGGCAGAUCACCCACGUGUUACUCACCCGUUCGCCACUCGAGUACCCCGAAGGGCCUUUCCGUUCGACUUGCAUGUGUUAAGCACGCCGCCAGCGUUCGUCCUGAGCCAGGAUCAAACUCU